This 1119-nucleotide ribosomal RNA is filed under the name Olleya marilimosa. Its description in RNAcentral is "bacterial SSU rRNA". It matches the Rfam family "Bacterial small subunit ribosomal RNA", at positions 1 to 1131 of the family's 1533-position model. The record is from RNAcentral. Lineage: Bacteria; Pseudomonadati; Bacteroidota; Flavobacteriia; Flavobacteriales; Flavobacteriaceae.
UAGAGUUUGAUCAUGGCUCAGGAUGAACGCUAGCGGCAGGCUUAACACAUGCAAGUCGAGGGGUAGCAGGGAGCUUGCUCCGCUGACGACCGGCGAACGGGUGCGUAACGCGUAUAGAAUCUACCUCUUACUAAGGGAUAGCCCAGAGAAAUUUGGAUUAAUAUCUUAUAGUAUACAGACCUGGCAUCAGGAUUGUAUUAAAGGUUACGGUAAGAGAUGACUAUGCGUCCUAUUAGCUAGAUGGUGUGGUAACGGCACACCAUGGCUACGAUAGGUAGGGGCCCUGAGAGGGGGAUCCCCCACACUGGUACUGAGACACGGACCAGACUCCUACGGGAGGCAGCAGUGAGGAAUAUUGGACAAUGGAGGCAACUCUGAUCCAGCCAUGCCGCGUGCAGGAAGACUGCCCUAUGGGUUGUAAACUGCUUUUAUACAGGAAGAAACACUCUCACGUGUGAGAGCUUGACGGUACUGUAAGAAUAAGGAUCGGCUAACUCCGUGCCAGCAGCCGCGGUAAUACGGAGGAUCCAAGCGUUAUCCGGAAUCAUUGGGUUUAAAGGGUCCGUAGGUGGAUGAUUAAGUCAGAGGUGAAAUCCUGCAGCUCAACUGUAGAAUUGCCUUUGAUACUGGUUGUCUUGAGUUAUUAUGAAGUAGUUAGAAUAUGUAGUGUAGCGGUGAAAUGCAUAGAUAUUACAUAGAAUACCAAUUGCGAAGGCAGAUUACUAAUAAUAUACUGACACUGAUGGACGAAAGCGUGGGGAGCGAACAGGAUUAGAUACCCUGGUAGUCCACGCCGUAAACGAUGGUCACUAGCUGUUCGGACUUCGGUUUGAGUGGCUAAGCGAAAGUGAUAAGUGACCCACCUGGGGAGUACGUUCGCAAGAAUGAAACUCAAAGGAAUUGACGGGGGCCCGCACAAGCGGUGGAGCAUGUGGUUUAAUUCGAUGAUACGCGAGGAACCUUACCAGGGCUUAAAUGUAGAUUGACAGGUUUAGAAAUAGACUUUUCUUCGGACAAUUUACAAGGUGCUGCAUGGUUGUCGUCAGCUCGUGCCGUGAGGUGUCAGGUUAAGUCCUAUAACGAGCGCAACCCCUGUUGUUAGUUGCCAGCGAGUCAUGU